Molecule: ribosomal RNA, 121 nt
Organism: Danio rerio (zebrafish)
Lineage: Eukaryota; Metazoa; Chordata; Actinopteri; Cypriniformes; Danionidae
Source: Ensembl
UGUAACAGCCAUAUCAAUCGGCAGCCCAAAACCGGUUACUUACUGAAGCUAAGCAGGGCUGAGCCUGGUUAGUUAGUACAUGGAUGGGAGACCACAUGGGAAAACUAGGUUGCUGUUGAAA